Molecule: ribosomal RNA, 501 nt
Filed under: uncultured bacterium
Lineage: Bacteria
Description: partial 16S ribosomal RNA
Rfam family: Bacterial small subunit ribosomal RNA
Source: RNAcentral
AUUGAACGCUGGCGGCAGGCUUAACACAUGCAAGUCGAGCGGGGGAAGGUAGCUUGCUACCGGACCUAGCGGCGGACGGGUGAGUAAUGCUUAGGAAUCUGCCUAUUAGUGGGGGACAACAUCUCAAAAGGGAUGCUAAUACCGCAUACGUCCUACGGGAGAAAGCAGGGGAUCUUUGGACCUUGCGCUAAUAGAUGAGCCUAAGUCGGAUUAGCUAGUUGGUGGGGUAAAGGCCUACCAAGGCGACGAUCUGUAGCGGGUCUGAGAGGAUGAUCCGCCACACUGGGACUGAGACACGGCCCAGACUCCUACGGGAGGCAGCAGUGGGGAAUAUUGGACAAUGGGGGGAACCCUGAUCCAGCCAUGCCGCGUGUGUGAAGAAGGCCUUAUGGUUGUAAAGCACUUUAAGCGAGGAGGAGGCUACUUUAGUUAAUACCUAGAGAUAGUGGACGUUACUCGCAGAAUAAGCACCGGCUAACUCUGUGCCAGCAGCCGCGGUAA